UAGGGAAUCUUCCGCAAUGGACGCAAGUCUGACGGAGCAACGCCGCGUGAGUGAAGAAGGAUUUCGGUUCGUAAAACUCUGUUGUUAGAGAAGAACAGCGCAUAGAGUAACUGUUAUGCGUGUGACGGUAUCUAACCAGAAAGCCACGGCUAACUACGUGCCAGCAGCCGCGGUAAUACGUAGGUGGCAAGCGUUGUCCGGAUUUAUUGGGCGUAAAGCGAGCGCAGGCGGUCAAUUAAGUCUGAUGUGAAAGCCCCCGGCUCAACCGGGGAGGGUCAUUGGAAACUGGUUGACUUGAGUGCAGAAGAGGAGAGUGGAAUUCCAUGUGUAGCGGUAAAAUGCGUAGAAAUAUGAAGGAACACCAGUGGCGAAGGCGACUCUCUGGUCUGUAACUGACGCUGAGGCUCGAAAGCGUGGGUAGCAAACAGG
RNAcentral lists this ribosomal RNA (429 nucleotides) under Bacteroidota bacterium. RNAcentral describes it as "Bacteroidetes bacterium partial 16S ribosomal RNA". It matches the Rfam family "Bacterial small subunit ribosomal RNA", at positions 355 to 776 of the family's 1533-position model. Lineage: Bacteria; Pseudomonadati; Bacteroidota. The record is from RNAcentral.